This 491-nucleotide ribosomal RNA is filed under the name uncultured bacterium. Its description in RNAcentral is "bacterial SSU rRNA". It matches the Rfam family "Bacterial small subunit ribosomal RNA", at positions 19 to 498 of the family's 1533-position model. The record is from RNAcentral.
CCCGCUCAGGACGAACGCUGGCGGCGCGCUUAACACAUGCAAGUCGAGCGAGAACCAGUCCUUCGGGGCUGGGGACAGCGGCGAACGGGUGAGUAACACGUGAGUAAUCCACCCCCGACACUGGGAUAGCCCGGGGAAACCCGGAUUAAUACCGGAUAGCCACUUCGGUUCUCGGACCGAAAUGAAAAGGUAGCUUCGGCCUCCGGUUGGGGACGAGCUCGCGGCGGAUUAGCUUGUUGGCGGGGUAAAGGCCCACCAAGGCGACGAUCCGUAGCUGGUCUGAGAGGACGAUCAGCCACACUGGGACUGAGACACGGCCCAGACUCCUACGGGAGGCAGCAGUGGGGAAUCUUGUGCAAUGGGCGAAAGCCUGACACAGCGACGCCGCGUGAGGGAAGAAGGCCUUCGGGUUGUAAACCUCUUUCAGGAGGGACGAAGCUACUCGGGUUAAUAGCCCAGAGGUGACGGUACCUCCAGAAGAAGCCCCGGCA